ACAGCAUCUUAACAGGUCGUAGCCUUGUGCAGUAGGCUGGGAUUUGGUAGCUGGUGCUAAAACUAAUUCUCCUCUGCAACAAUCUCAUCAGCUUACUCAUGGCUUUUUGAGAUUACACUGGAGGAGAACACUC
RNAcentral lists this small nucleolar RNA (133 nucleotides) under Periophthalmus magnuspinnatus. Its description in RNAcentral is "Small nucleolar RNA SNORA30/SNORA37 family (ENSPMGG00000016528.1)". Lineage: Eukaryota; Metazoa; Chordata; Actinopteri; Gobiiformes; Gobiidae. The record is from RNAcentral.